GAGGAAACAACUUCGCAAAUCCAAAAAACAAUUGACAGCAACCAUAAGCAGGGAGAGACAGAGAUCGUCUGAAAGAUGCCUAGAAUUAGAUGCAACGCCAAUUUGAGCAUACCCCUGGUGACAGAUUCAGACCAAGAGGAUC
Molecule: non-coding RNA, 142 nt
Filed under: Protocruzia adhaerens
Lineage: Eukaryota; Ciliophora; Spirotrichea
Source: RNAcentral